This 253-nucleotide ribosomal RNA is filed under the name uncultured bacterium. Its description in RNAcentral is "partial 16S ribosomal RNA". It matches the Rfam family "Bacterial small subunit ribosomal RNA", at positions 524 to 776 of the family's 1533-position model. The record is from RNAcentral.
UUCAGAGGUCUCAAGCGUUGUUCGGAUUCAUUGGGCGUAAAGGGUGCGUAGGCGGCGCGGUAAGUCGGGUGUGAAAUUUCGAGGCUUAACUUCGAAACUGCAUUCGAUACUGCCGUGCUAGAGGACUGGAGAGGAGACUGGAAUUCAUGGUGUAGCAGUGAAAUGCGUAGAGAUCAUGAGGAAGACCAGUGGCGAAGGCGGGUCUCUGGACAGUUCCUGACACUGAGGCACGAAGGCCAGGGGAGCAAACGGG